UACAGAGGGUGCAAGCGUUAAUCGGAAUUACUGGGCGUAAAGCGUGCGUAGACGGUUAUCUAAGUCAGGUGUGAAAGCCCAGGGCUCAACCUUGGAAUUGCAUUUGAGACUGAAUAGCUAGGGUGCGGAAGAGGGAAGCGGAAUUUCCGGUGUAGCGGUGAAAUGCGUAGAUAUCGGAAGGAACACCAGUGGCGAAAGCGGCUUCCUGGUCCAGCACCGACGUUCAGGCACGAAAGCGUGGGGAGCAAACAGG
Molecule: ribosomal RNA, 253 nt
Filed under: uncultured bacterium
Lineage: Bacteria
Description: partial 16S ribosomal RNA
Rfam family: Bacterial small subunit ribosomal RNA
Source: RNAcentral